Molecule: ribosomal RNA, 862 nt
Filed under: uncultured bacterium
Lineage: Bacteria
Description: bacterial SSU rRNA
Rfam family: Bacterial small subunit ribosomal RNA
Source: RNAcentral
GAGUUUGAUCAUGGCUCAGAUUGAACGCUGGCGGUAGGCCUUAUACAUGCAAGUCGUGCGAGAAAGUAUCUUCGGAUAUGAGUAGAGCGGCGGACGGGUGAGUAACGCGUAGGAAUCUACCUAGUAGAAGGGGAUAGCCCGGGGAAACUCGGAUUAAUACCGUAUACCUCCUUAGGGAGAAAGAGGGCCUCUCUUUGAUGCUCUCGCUACUAAAUGAGCCUGCGUAAGAUUAGCUAGUUGGUGAGGUAAUGGCUCACCAAGGCGACGAUCUUUAGCUGGUCUGAGAGGACGAUCAGCCACAUUGGGACUGAGACACGGCCCAGACUCCUACGGGAGGCAGCAGUAGGGAAUAUUGGACAAUGAGCGCAAGCUUGAUCCAGCCAUACCGCGUGUGUGAAGAAGGCCUUCGGGUUGUAAAGCACUUUAAGCAGGGAGAAAAAGUUAUAGGUUAAUACCCUAUGACCGUGAUGUUACCUGCAGAAUAAGCACCGGCUAAUUCCGUGCCAGCAGCCGCGGUAAUACGGAAGGUGCAAGCGUUAAUCGGAAUUACUGGGCGUAAAGCGCGCGUAGGUGGUUUGUUAAGUUGGAUGUGAAAGCCCUGGGCUCAACCUAGGAACUGCAUCCAAAACUAACUCACUAGAGUACGAUAGAGGGAGGUAGAAUUCAUAGUGUAGCGGUGGAAUGCGUAGAUAUUAUGAAGAAUACCAGUGGCGAAGGCGGCCUCCUGGAUCUGUACUGACACUGAGGUGCGAAAGCGUGGGUGGCGAACAGGAUUAGAUACCCUGGUAGUCCACGCCGUAAACGAUGACAACUAGCUGUUGGGAGACAAUGUCUUUCAGUGGCGCAGCUAACGUUUUAAGUU